RNAcentral lists this ribosomal RNA (485 nucleotides) under Galerida cristata (crested lark). Its description in RNAcentral is "partial 16S ribosomal RNA". It matches the Rfam family "Bacterial large subunit ribosomal RNA", at positions 1923 to 2568 of the family's 2925-position model. Lineage: Eukaryota; Metazoa; Chordata; Aves; Passeriformes; Alaudidae. The record is from RNAcentral.
UUUAACGGCCGCGGUAUCCUAACCGUGCAAAGGUAGCGCAAUCAAUUGUCCCGUAAAUCGGGACACGUAUGAAUGGCUAAACGAGGUCUUAACUGUCUCUUACAGGCAAUCGGUGAAAUUGAUCUCCCUGUGCAAAAGCAGGGAUAACCCCAUAAGACGAGAAGACCCUGUGGAACUUCAAAAACAGCAACCACCCCAACAUACAUUCACACCCACCCCGGGCUCACUUAUUCCUAAAGCACUGGUUCGCAUUUUUUCGGUUGGGGCGACCUUGGAGCAAAACAAAACCUCCAAAAAUUGGACCAUCCCUCCAGACUAAGAGCAACCCCUCAACGUGCCAACAGCACCCAGACCCAAUAUAAUUGAUCAAUGGACCAAGCUACCCCAGGGAUAACAGCGCAAUCUCCUCCGAGAGUCCAUAUCGAAGGGGAGGUUUACGACCUCGAUGUUGGAUCAGGACAUCCUAGUGGUGCAGGAGCUACUAA